AAUCUAGGGAAGGAACGACAGGUCCUAGAGGAACAUGAAGGUACAGGGGACUAUGAGGUAUUUUGACAUACUCGCCCUAGAAGUCAGUAUAGUGAGUCCAACAAAAAACUACACGCCCAUGCUCAAACUUUUCUACUUCCAAGAGGCGAUGGAGACUUAUGAAAAAAAAUUUCUAGUGGUACAUAACUUCACUCAUGACCCUUUUGUCCUACAGCUCCUUGAGGAAGUAAACAAGUUGAAGGUCGAACGUCAAGCCGAGAUACCUGACUAGAACCAACCCAAGCCUGGCCCUUUCACAAGAAG
This 303-nucleotide long non-coding RNA is filed under the name Malus domestica (apple). RNAcentral's name for it is "long non-coding RNA (MDOM_LNC011097)". The record is from RNAcentral. Lineage: Eukaryota; Viridiplantae; Streptophyta; Magnoliopsida; Rosales; Rosaceae.